RNAcentral lists this ribosomal RNA (468 nucleotides) under uncultured bacterium. RNAcentral describes it as "partial 16S ribosomal RNA". It matches the Rfam family "Bacterial small subunit ribosomal RNA", at positions 28 to 507 of the family's 1533-position model. The record is from RNAcentral.
GACGAACGCUGGCGGCGUGCUUAACACAUGCAAGUCGAACGGAAAGGCCCUGCUUUUGUGGGGUGCUCGAGUGGCGAACGGGUGAGUAACACGUGAGUAACCUGCCCUUGACUUUGGGAUAACUUCAGGAAACUGGGGCUAAUACCGGAUAGGAGCUCCUGCUGCAUGGUGGGGGUUGGAAAGUUUCGGCGGUUGGGGAUGGACUCGCGGCUUAUCAGCUUGUUGGUGGGGUAGUGGCUUACCAAGGCUUUGACGGGUAGCCGGCCUGAGAGGGUGACCGGCCACAAUGGGACUGAGGUACGGACCAGACUCCUACGGGAGGCAGCAGUGGGGAAUAUUGCACAAUGGGCGGAAGCCUGAUGCGGCAACGCCGCGUGCGGGAUGACGGCCUUCGGGUUGUAAACCGCUUUCGCCUGUGACGAGGCGUGAGUGACGGUAAUGGGUAAAGAAGCACCGGCUAACUACGUG